AAUAGAUACCCCGGUAGUCCAUGCCGUAAACGUUGGGCGCUAGAUGUGGGGACCAUUCCACGGUUUCCGUGUCGCAGCUAACGCAUUAAGCGCCCCGCCUGGGGAGUACGGCCGCAAGGCUAAAACUCAAAGGAAUUGACGGGGGCCCGCACAAGCGGCGGAGCAUGCGGAUUAAUUCGAUGCAACGCGAAGAACCUUACCAAGGCUUGACAUAUACGAGAACGCUCUAGAAAUAGAGAACUCUUUGGACACUCGUAUACAGGUGGUGCAUGGUUGUCGUCAGCUCGUGUCGUGAGAUGUUGGGUUAAGUCCCGCAACGAGCGCAACCCUCGUUCUAUGUUGCCAGCGGUUCGGCCGGGAACUCAUAGGAGACUGCCGGGGUUCAACUCGGAGGAAGGUGGGGAUGACGUCAAAUCAUCAUGCCCCUUAUGUCUUGGGUCUUCACGCAUGCUACAAUGGCCGGUACAAAGGGCUGCAAUACCGUAAGGUGGAGCGAAUACCCAAAAGCCGGUCUCAGUUCGGAUUGAGGU
This 530-nucleotide ribosomal RNA is filed under the name uncultured bacterium. Its description in RNAcentral is "bacterial SSU rRNA". It matches the Rfam family "Bacterial small subunit ribosomal RNA", at positions 777 to 1304 of the family's 1533-position model. The record is from RNAcentral.